Molecule: transfer RNA, 59 nt
Filed under: Equus caballus (horse)
Lineage: Eukaryota; Metazoa; Chordata; Mammalia; Perissodactyla; Equidae
Description: partial transfer RNA-Thr
Source: RNAcentral
AGUCCUUGGGAGGAACGUUUUCCCCCUUUUCUGGUUUACAACACCAGGGUAAAUGUGCG